AGUGAACGCUGGCGGUAGGCCUAACACAUGCAAGUCGAACGGCAGCACAGGAGAGCUUGCUCUCUGGGUGGCGAGUGGCGGACGGGUGAGGAAUACAUCGGAAUCUACUCUGUCGUGGGGGAUAACGUAGGGAAACUUACGCUAAUACCGCAUACGACCUACGGGUGAAAGCAGGGGACCUUCGGGCCUUGCGCGAUUGAAUGAGCCGAUGUCGGAUUAGCUAGUUGGCGGGGUAAAGGCCCACCAAGGCGACGAUCCGUAGCUGGUCUGAGAGGAUGAUCAGACACACUUGAACUGAGACACGGUCCAGACUCCUACGGGAGGCAGCAGUGGGGAAUAUUGGACAAUGGGCGCAAGCCUGAUCCGGCCAUACCGCGUGGGUGAAGAAGGCCUUCGGGUUGUAAAGCCCUUUUGUUGGGAAAGAAAUCCAGCUGGCUAAUACCCGGUUGGGAUGACGGUACCCAAAGAAUAAGCACCGGCUAACUUCGUGCCAGCAGCCGCCGUAA
RNAcentral lists this ribosomal RNA (506 nucleotides) under uncultured bacterium. Its description in RNAcentral is "partial 16S ribosomal RNA". It matches the Rfam family "Bacterial small subunit ribosomal RNA", at positions 29 to 523 of the family's 1533-position model. The record is from RNAcentral.